Molecule: ribosomal RNA, 571 nt
Filed under: uncultured bacterium
Lineage: Bacteria
Description: partial 16S ribosomal RNA
Rfam family: Bacterial small subunit ribosomal RNA
Source: RNAcentral
UGGGGAAUAUUGCACAAUGGGCGAAAGCCUGAUGCAGCAACGCCGCGUGAGUGAUGAAGGCCUUCGGGUUGUAAAGCUCUGUCUUUUGGGACGAUAAUGACGGUACCAAAGGAGGAAGCCACGGCUAACUACGUGCCAGCAGCCGCGGUAAUACGUAGGUGGCAAGCGUUGUCCGGAUUUACUGGGCGUAAAGGAUGCGUAGGCGGAUUUUUAAGUGAGAUGUGAAAUACCCGGGCUUAACUUGGGUGCUGCAUUUCAAACUGGGAAUCUAGAGUGCGGGAGAGGAGAAUGGAAUUCCUAGUGUAGCGGUGAAAAUGCGUAGAGAUUAGGAAGAACACCAGUGGCGAAGGCGAUUCUCUGGACCGUAACUGACGCUGAGGCAUGAAAAGCGUGGGUAGCAAAACAGGAUUAGAUACCCUGGUAGUCCACGCCGUAAACGAUGAGUACUAGGUGUAGGAGGUAUCGACCCCUUCUGUGCCGCAGUUAACACAAUAAGUACUCCGCCUGGGAAGUACGAUCGCAAGAUUAAAAAACUUAAAAGGAAAUUGACGGGGGUCAUAGCUGUUUUCCU